ACGGCCGUACUACAUUGAAAACACCGGUUCUCGUACGAUCCCCGAAGUUAAGCAACGUCAGGCCUGGUCAGUACUUGGGAGGUUGACCACCUGGGUACACCGGGUGUAGCUAUAGGCU
This 118-nucleotide ribosomal RNA is filed under the name Cordylochernes scorpioides. Lineage: Eukaryota; Metazoa; Arthropoda; Arachnida; Pseudoscorpiones; Chernetidae. The record is from RNAcentral.